GAUGAACGCUGGCGGCGUGCUUAACACAUGCAAGUCGAACGGAAAGGCCCAAGCUUGCUUGGGUACUCGAGUGGCGAACGGGUGAGUAACACGUGGGUGAUCUGCCCCGCACUUCGGGAUAAGCCUGGGAAACUGGGUCUAAUGCCGGAUAGGACAGUGGUUUGGAUGCCAUUGUGGAAAGUUUUUUCGGUGUGGGAUGAGCUCGCGGCCUAUCAGCUUGUUGGUGGGGUAAUGGCCUACCAAGGCGUCGACGGGUAGCCGGCCUGAGAGGGUGUACGGCCAAAUUGGGACCUAGAUACGGCCCAGACUCCUACGGGAGGCAGCAGUGGGGAAUAUUGCACAAUGGGCGCAAGCCUGAUGCAGCGACGCCGCGUGGGGGAUGACGGCCUUCGGGUUGUAAACUCCUUUCGCUAGGGACGAAGCGUUAUGUGACGGUACCUAGAGAAGAAGCACCGGCUAACUACGUG
Molecule: ribosomal RNA, 467 nt
Filed under: uncultured bacterium
Lineage: Bacteria
Description: partial 16S ribosomal RNA
Rfam family: Bacterial small subunit ribosomal RNA
Source: RNAcentral